This 253-nucleotide ribosomal RNA is filed under the name uncultured bacterium. RNAcentral's name for it is "partial 16S ribosomal RNA". It matches the Rfam family "Bacterial small subunit ribosomal RNA", at positions 524 to 776 of the family's 1533-position model. The record is from RNAcentral.
UACGAAGGGGGCGAGCGUUGUUCGGAUUUACUGGGCGUAAAGGGCGCGCAGGCGGUCUUGAAAGUCAGGCGUGAAAGCCCCGGGCUUAACCUGGGAAUUGCGCUUGAUACUCUGAGACUGGAGUACGGGAGAGGAGAGUGGAAUUCCCAGUGUAGAGGUGAAAUUCGUAGAUAUUCGCAAGAACACCAGUGGCGAAGGCGGCUCACUGGCCCGAUACUGACGCUGAGGCACGAAAGCGUGGGGAGCAAACAGG